AAAGCAUGAUGAGGAAAUUUUUUUAGCAUCUCUUUAUAUCUCUCCCAUGCCUCAAAAAGUGACUCUCCCUCUUUUUGAGUGAACAUAUGAAUGUCAUUCCUAAACCU
Molecule: small nucleolar RNA, 107 nt
Organism: Arachis duranensis
Lineage: Eukaryota; Viridiplantae; Streptophyta; Magnoliopsida; Fabales; Fabaceae
Source: RefSeq, a predicted model, not a curated record